This 351-nucleotide long non-coding RNA is filed under the name Oryza brachyantha (malo sina). Its description in RNAcentral is "long non-coding RNA (OBRA_LNC000892)". Lineage: Eukaryota; Viridiplantae; Streptophyta; Magnoliopsida; Poales; Poaceae. The record is from RNAcentral.
GUUUGACGCCGUUGAUUUUUUUAUAUAAGUUUGAUUAUUCGUCUUAUUCAAAAAUUUACAUAAUUAUUAAUUAUUUUUAUAUCAUUUUAUUUAUUGUUAAAUAUAUUUUUAUGCAUAUAUAUAGUUUUAUAUAUUUUACAAAAAAAUGAAUAAAAUGAAUGGUUAAACAUGUGUCAAAAAGUCAACGACGUCAAAUAUUUAGGGACACAGGUAGUAUUACACAAUGAUCAGAGUUUACAUUCAUGUAUUGGAUCAUCCCCCCUAACCCUCCACCCCUCCCAAGUUCCUCAGCACCCGUAACAAAAAGGGAAGAAAGAAGCCCCCUUGCAUACGGUGACAAUCUCAUGCAGA